RNAcentral lists this long non-coding RNA (238 nucleotides) under Carica papaya (papaya). RNAcentral's name for it is "long non-coding RNA (CPAP_LNC013013)". The record is from RNAcentral. Lineage: Eukaryota; Viridiplantae; Streptophyta; Magnoliopsida; Brassicales; Caricaceae.
AGAGAGAGAUGUUUAUCUUUUAAUUCCUUUUCAGUUAUUUGAAUAUUAUUUUGAUACAAUCUUAUAUUAAGUUAAAUUAAGAGUUUGAUUAGGAUUUUAUUUUCCAAAUUCUAGUAGGAUAUGUAAGGUGAAGGCCUAUAUAUAUAGGCUACACCUAUAACGACCCCAAAAAUCCAAAAGGAAAUAGAUAGUAACUUAAGUGCGGAAGUGAAAUAAAAGGUUAAGGUUUAUGUUCCUU